UCGAAAGCGUGGGGAGCGAACAGGAUUAGAUACCCUGGUAGUCCACGCCGUAAACGAUGAGUGCUAAGUGUUGGAGGGUUUCCGCCCUUCAGUGCUGCAGCAAACGCAUUAAGCACUCCGCCUGGGGAGUACGACCGCAAGGUUGAAACUCAAAGGAAUUGACGGGGGCCCGCACAAGCGGUGGAGCAUGUGGUUUAAUUCGAAGCAACGCGAAGAACCUUACCAGGUCUUGACAUCCUUUGACCACUCUAGAGAUAGAGCUUCCCCUUCGGGGGCAAAGUGACAGGUGGUGCAUGGUUGUCGUCAGCUCGUGUCGUGAGAUGUUGGGUUAAGUCCCGCAACGAGCGCAACCCUUAUUGUUAGUUGCCAUCAUUUAGUUGGGCACUCUAGCGAGACUGCCGGUGACAAACCGGAGGAAGGUGGGGAUGACGUCAAAUCAUCAUGCCCCUUAUGACCUGGGCUACACACGUGCUACAAUGGGAAGUACAACGAGUUGCGAAGUCGCGAGGCUAAGCUAAUCUCUUAAAGCUUCUCUCAGUUCGGAUUGUAGGCUGCAACUCGCCUACAUGAAGCCGGAAUCGCUAGUAAUCGCGGAUCAGCACGCCGCGGUGAAUACGUUCCCGGGCCUUGUACACACCGCCCGUCACACCACGAGAGUUUGUAACACCCGAAGUCGGUGAGGUAACCUUUUUGGAGCCAGCCG
This 703-nucleotide ribosomal RNA is filed under the name Enterococcus gallinarum. RNAcentral describes it as "bacterial SSU rRNA". It matches the Rfam family "Bacterial small subunit ribosomal RNA", at positions 753 to 1455 of the family's 1533-position model. Lineage: Bacteria; Bacillati; Bacillota; Bacilli; Lactobacillales; Enterococcaceae. The record is from RNAcentral.